Long non-coding RNA from Orcinus orca (killer whale), 1541 nucleotides. RefSeq lists it as uncharacterized. The record is from RefSeq and is a predicted model, not a curated record. NCBI's taxonomy places the organism in Eukaryota, Metazoa, Chordata, Mammalia, Artiodactyla, Delphinidae. The transcript has 2 exons.
AGGCACCCAAGUUAUUCUAAAGAAAUCCUAAUAAUACAUUAGGACCGUUUUGAAUAUUUUUAUUUGAUUAGCCAUAAUCUUCUAGUUAUAACAUCCAUCACCAUCUUGACCACUGAAACUUGGCCUUCUUUUCUUACAGCCUAGCCCUGUGGUCUUGGGCUAAUCACUGACCUGCUUAGAUACAAUUUUCUUCUCUAUGAAAUAGAAACAAUAUUAUAUGCUUUGAAGGACUGCAGGAAGAUGAGCUGUAAUGUUUAUCAAGUGCCUAGUUAGCUCUAGAGUCCUUAAUUCUCCAUUCAGCAUUAAAUUAUUGACUAUUUUGCCACAACUACUGAGCCUGCGCUGUAGAGCCUGCGAGUCACAGCUACUGAAGCCUGUGUGCCACAACUACUGAACUCCAUGCACCUAGAGCCCAUGCUCUGCAACAAGAGAAGCCACCAAAAUGAGAAGCCUGCACACCGCAUAGAAGAGUAGCCCCCGCUCACCGCAACUACAGAAAGCCCGCGUGUAGCAAUGGAGACCCAACACAGCCAAAAAUAAAAUAAAUACAUUUAUUUUUUAAAAAGUGGAUGUAUUUAAAAAAACCCCAAAAGGUCCUACUGUAUAGCACAGGGAACUAUAUUCAAUAUCCUGUGAUAAACCAUAAUGGAAAAGAAUAUGAAAAAGAAUGUAUAUAAAUGUAUAAAUGAGUCACUUUUCUGUGCAGCAGUAAUUAACACAACACUGUAAUUCUAUACGUCAAUAAAAAAUAAAAUUUAAAAAAACUGCCAUAAAAAUCACCACAGAAGGGGGACUUCCCUAGUGGUCCGGUGGUUAAGACUUCGCCUUCCAAUGGAGGGGGUGAGGGUUCGAUCCCUGGUUGGGGAGCUAAGAUCCCACGUGCCUUGCGACCAAAAAACCAAAACAUAAAACAGAAGCAAUACUGUAACAAAUUCCAUAAAGACUUUAAAAAUAGUCGACAUCAAAAAAAAUCUUUAAAAAAAUCACAUAAAUCAGAAACAAAUGAAACAUAAUAAAGUCCAUACAUUAAAAAAAAAGAGCAUGGGUUCUGGUCACAUCCCAGCUUCCCACUUACUUACAGCUGUGUAAUUCUGGGCAACUCACAUAAUGUCUCCUCAGACUCCUCAUCUAUAAAUGGGGAUGGUAAUAGUUCCCUACCUCAUACUGUUGCUGUAAUCCAUAAACACGGUUAAGUGCCUUGGUAAAUUGUUUGAUGCUCUCUGUGAAUUAAAAUAUGUCAAUGGCUUCUGGCCAUACGAUUUAUAAUAGUUUGACAGUUAACCAAAUGGUAAAACUAUGCCAUUUAUUAUUCCCAUCUCUUUUUACCCCUUACCCUGUUUUGUUGUUUAUGUUUUCUCCCACCACAGAGUGUUAGUUCCAGGAGAGCAAAAGCUUUAUUUUGUUCACUGCUGAAAGCAAUAGCACCCAGAAAAGUACUGUACAUAUGAAGCCCUCAGUAAACACUAGCUGAAUGAAUGGUGCAAACUGUCACAAGGAAAAAUACACCAAAACUUUCAUUAUAAUAAAAAAGUAUAGAUAAA